Molecule: ribosomal RNA, 278 nt
Filed under: Peronospora sp. DML84
Lineage: Eukaryota; Oomycota; Peronosporomycetes; Peronosporales; Peronosporaceae
Description: partial 18S ribosomal RNA
Rfam family: Eukaryotic small subunit ribosomal RNA
Source: RNAcentral
GCGCAUCGUGCUAGGGAUAGACUGUUGCAAUUUUCAGUCUUGAACGAGGAAUUCCUAGUAAAUACAAGUCAUCAGCUUGUGUUGAUUACGUCCCUGCCCUUUGUACACACCGCCCGUCGCACCUACCGAUUGAAUGCUUCGGUGAAAAGUAUACGGCUGCAAGGACGCUUGCUUCAUUGCGAGCGGACAUACUGCGGAAGGUACUUUGAACCUCGCCAUUUAGAGGAAGGUGAAGUCGUAACAAGGUUUCCGUAGGUGAACCUGCGGAAGGAUCAUUA